UUGCGAAUGGGGGAACCCUGACGCAGCAACGCCGCGUGAGUGAUGAAGGCCUUCGGGUCGUAAAGCUCUGUCAAGUGGGAAGAACCUGCUUCGUGAUAAUACCGCGAGGCACUGACGGUACCACUGAAGGAAGCACCGGCUAACUCCGUGCCAGCAGCCGCGGUAAUACGGGGGGUGCUAGCGUUAUUCGGAAUCAUUGGGCGUAAAGGGCGCGUAGGCGGUCGCUUAAGUCAGAUGUGAAAGCCCUCGGCUUAACCGAGGAAGUGCAUUUGAUACUAAGUGACUUGAGUAUGGGAGAGGGAAGCGGAAUUCCCGGUGUAGCGGUGAAAUGUGUAGAGAUCGGGAGGAACACCGGUGGCGAAGGCGGGUCUCUGGGCAAUUCCUGACGCUGAGGCGCGAAAGCGUGGGGAGCAAACAGGAUUAGAUACCCUGGUAGUCCACGCAGUAAACGGUGAACACUAGGUGUAGCGGGUAUUGACCCCUGCUGUGCCGAAGCUAACGCAUUAAGUGUUCCGCCUGGGGAGUACGGCCGCAAGGUUGAAACUCAAAAAAAUUGACGGA
This 561-nucleotide ribosomal RNA is filed under the name uncultured bacterium. Its description in RNAcentral is "bacterial SSU rRNA". It matches the Rfam family "Bacterial small subunit ribosomal RNA", at positions 364 to 917 of the family's 1533-position model. The record is from RNAcentral.